RNAcentral lists this ribosomal RNA (253 nucleotides) under uncultured bacterium. Its description in RNAcentral is "partial 16S ribosomal RNA". It matches the Rfam family "Bacterial small subunit ribosomal RNA", at positions 524 to 776 of the family's 1533-position model. The record is from RNAcentral.
UACGUAGGUGGCGAGCGUUGUCCGGAUUUACUGGGCGUAAAGAGCGCGCGGGCGGUCAAGUCAGUCGAAUGUGAAAGCCCCCGGCUCAACUGGGGAGGGUCAUUCGAUACUGCUCGACUUGAAGGCAGGAGAGGGAAGUGGAAUUCCCGGUGUAGUGGUGAAAUGCGUAGAUAUCGGGAGGAACACCAGUGGCGAAGGCGACUUUCUGGCCUGUUCUUGACGCUGAGGCGCGAAAGCUAGGGGAGCAAACGGG